This 1532-nucleotide long non-coding RNA is filed under the name Homo sapiens (human). Its description in RNAcentral is "HSALNT0082740". Lineage: Eukaryota; Metazoa; Chordata; Mammalia; Primates; Hominidae. The record is from RNAcentral.
AAGAAUUUGGAUUCUUUCCUCCAGGUUACAAUGCUCGUUAAGGGGCGGCCUGUAAUGAAAUCUGCGCCAUGUGCUAAAACCAACUAAGUGAUUAUUUUAAAAGUCACAGUCUGCGUGGGGCUUCAUAAAUUCACACGAGGGAGAGCUGUCUAAUGGGAUUGCCACCUUCCACCCCCAACGCAGACUUCAGCUCCUUCCUAGGUCUCCACUCAAAGGCUUAUCCCAUGGCCCGAGCAGGGAAGGCCUUUUUGUGUGAAAACACCUGGCCACCCAGCUUCAGGAGCACUGAGCGCUUUCGGCAUGGCCGUCCCCACUGGCCCACGCGGCAUUUCUUACAAUAUAUCGUCAUUUCAGAUGCUCAUUUCAGCCAUGAUCAUUUAUUCCAGAAGCACUUGUUAGGACGUUAUACUUAUUUCCUUUAAGUAUAAGGUCCUGUGUUGACUACUGAGAAUGAAAAACUGAACAAGACAGAAAGUCCCACCUUGAAGAGCUUCCAAGUGUAGCGAGUCUCCUGGCAUCAGGUAUGGCUGGUAUCAUGGAAACACUCGGCUGACUGUCCAGGAGAUGCUGGUUAAGAGGCGGAAGGUGAUGGCGUGAAAUCAAGUUCAGGUGCAGGGGACACUCCUGAGAGCAUUCCUGCCCUGUCCCCGUGGCCUGAGCGGCCUUCUCAGUUGCACAGAGAUGCAGCAGUAAACCCCCAUCUUUAUUUCAACGUGUGGAGCAGGUGGUCCACGUCACUGGAAUGCAGAACGGAAGGACUCUGAUCUCCCACCUUGCCUUCUGAUUGUGAGUCAUAAGACCCUCGCCAGAGGUGGCCCUGCCCUACACCCGAGGGGAAGGAAUGCUGGCAUCAUGAAGCUUCCAUAAAAAUUCAAGAGGAUUGAUUCUGGGAGCUUCUAGAGAGCUGGCCACAUGGAGGUUCCUGGAGGGUGUUGCACCAGGGAGGGUAUGGAAACUCUGUGCCCCUUUCACCACACCUUACCCUACACGCCUCUUCAUCUGGAUCCUUUGCAAUAUCCUUCAUGAUACAUUGACAAACGUAAGUGUUUUUCUGAGUUCUGUGAACUACUCCAGCAAGUUAAUUGAACCCAAAGAGGGGAUCUUGGGAACCCCAAAUAGAAGUCAGUCAAUCAGAAGUUCUGGAUGCCUGGAUUUGUGAAUAGUAUGUGGUAACGGGGGCAGUCUUGGGGACUGAACCCUCUAUCUGUACAAUCUGACAUUAUCCCCAGGUAUUUAAUUUCAGAAUUGAAUUGAAGGACAUCCAGCUAGGCCAGCUGCAGAACUAAUUACUUGCCUGGUGGUGGAGUGAACCCCCCCCCCACAUUUAUACACGGAAAUCUUGGAUGUUUAUGAAUCUUGUUGUGGUGGUGUGAGAGCAGAGGAAAAACACUGUUUGACAGGUUUUCUGAAACGGCAACAUAAUAUAAUUGUGGAUAAAAUUUAAUAUUUAUGCAUACGAAAUGAAGCUUGCAGAUUAAAAAUUAAAUUUUCUUUUUUGUCUCUCUCUCUCUCUCUCUUCCUCUCUGUCAUUU